GAUAACACCACCCCCUUUCCAACCCCUAGUUGUUUUAUUAAUAGACCAAAAGGGGGGAGGAUGUAGGGAAAAGGGGCCAGCUGAAGAAACACACCCUAAGCGGAGCCAAAGAAACACACUUUGGCCCUGCAAUCAGAGCCAAAAAAAUGCACCCUGACCCUGAAAUCAGUGCCAAAGAAACACACUUUGUCCCUGGGAUCAGAGCCAGUGAAAGAAAUAUAUCCUGGCCCUAAAAUUAGAGCCAAAAGCCUAAAAAGGACCAGUGAAAGAAACACACUUUGGCCCUGAAACCAGAGCCAAAUCUGACCCUAAAUCUGUGCAGAAAACCAACCAAUCCCUGAGCAGGAGAUCUAGCCAGUCUGAGCUCAGGGAAUGAAAUCUGACCAAUCCCCACCCCAUCAAGCCACCGCAAUGCUUACACACAACCAGAGAUAUCCCAGGGUUUGUUGAAAAUCCUCUUUAAUGGAUUGCUGCUAAGCAUUAUGGAGGCACCUUGACACUGCUAUCCAAAAGAGAAAAAGAUCUCCUCGUUACAGAAACAGAUCUAAACUGGAAGGGGAAUGAGCCAUUUCAAGACCACAGCUGCCUGCCCACACCCUUCUGAGGACGACUGUGACUAAGCUACCUGCCAGCUGCUGCUGUUGCAAUGGCAAUACUGGUGGUUCCCAAGUGGUGGCAGUGAGCACUGCAGCCACCAGUUUCCUUGUGACCCAAUAUACCUGAGUCAACCCCACAUUCAGUUCCACAAGAUGUCAGCCCUCCUUCCAACCAGUCUCCUGCCGAGGGAUGACUCCACGGGUCCCCUGCACUAGUGUCUUGAGAUGACUGACAUGGUCCAGUCUAUCAGGCAAGAUCUGACUGAUAUCCCACUGAUGGCACCAGUUUUGGUAGUCCUGCUAGACCAGCUUACCAGACCUUCGGGAACCACCCCCCUCCCAGUGAGACUGACUGGGCAAAACAAGAACUAGCUACAUACACAG
This 980-nucleotide long non-coding RNA is filed under the name Cricetulus griseus (Chinese hamster). RNAcentral describes it as "lncRNA (ENSCGRG00015034347.1)". Lineage: Eukaryota; Metazoa; Chordata; Mammalia; Rodentia; Cricetidae. The record is from RNAcentral.